CUACAUAAUCACCCGAAUUCUGCGUUUCGUCGAAGAAAUGGUGAAUUGCUCGCAAAAUCUGAUGAACUACUCCCAACACACGAAGAUUUCCAUCGAAACGUUCGAUAAUCUUCUGAAAUUGCAACCAAUGUUCGUUCAGGCGCUUUGGCAAAAGAAUAGCCCGUUGCUUCAGCUUCCACACAUUACAGACUACAAUUUACAGCAUUUGAGAAAGG
RNAcentral lists this small RNA (215 nucleotides) under Caenorhabditis elegans. RNAcentral describes it as "Unclassified non-coding RNA Y63D3A.14". The record is from RNAcentral. Lineage: Eukaryota; Metazoa; Nematoda; Chromadorea; Rhabditida; Rhabditidae.